RNAcentral lists this ribosomal RNA (1397 nucleotides) under Vibrio vulnificus. RNAcentral describes it as "partial 23S ribosomal RNA". It matches the Rfam family "Bacterial large subunit ribosomal RNA", at positions 1567 to 2925 of the family's 2925-position model. Lineage: Bacteria; Pseudomonadati; Pseudomonadota; Gammaproteobacteria; Vibrionales; Vibrionaceae. The record is from RNAcentral.
CGUCGAGCUACUACGGUAGUGAAGUCAUUGAUGCCAUGCUUCCAGGAAAAGCCUCUAAGCUUCAGAUUGUAAGGAAUCGUACCCCAAACCGACACAGGUGGUCGGGUAGAGAAUACCAAGGCGCUUGAGAGAACUCGGGUGAAGGAACUAGGCAAAAUGGUACCGUAACUUCGGGAGAAGGUACGCUCUUGAUGGUGAAGUCCCUUGCGGAUGGAGCUGACGAGAGUCGCAGAUACCAGGUGGCUGCAACUGUUUAUUAAAAACACAGCACUGUGCAAAAUCGUAAGAUGACGUAUACGGUGUGACGCCUGCCCGGUGCCGGAAGGUUAAUUGAUGGGGUUAGCGUAAGCGAAGCUCUUGAUCGAAGCCCCGGUAAACGGCGGCCGUAACUAUAACGGUCCUAAGGUAGCGAAAUUCCUUGUCGGGUAAGUUCCGACCUGCACGAAUGGCGUAAUGAUGGCCACGCUGUCUCCACCCGAGACUCAGUGAAAUUGAAAUCGCUGUGAAGAUGCAGUGUACCCGCGGCUAGACGGAAAGACCCCGUGAACCUUUACUACAGCUUGGCACUGAACAUUGAACCUACAUGUGUAGGAUAGGUGGGAGGCUUUGAAGACGUGACGCCAGUUGCGUUGGAGCCGUCCUUGAAAUACCACCCUUGUAUGUUUGAUGUUCUAACGUUGGCCCCUAAUCGGGGUUGCGGACAGUGCCUGGUGGGUAGUUUGACUGGGGCGGUCUCCUCCCAAAGAGUAACGGAGGAGCACGAAGGUGGGCUAAUCACGGUUGGACAUCGUGAGGUUAGUGCAAUGGCAUAAGCCCGCUUAACUGCGAGAAUGACGGUUCGAGCAGGUGCGAAAGCAGGUCAUAGUGAUCCGGUGGUUCUGAAUGGAAGGGCCAUCGCUCAACGGAUAAAAGGUACUCCGGGGAUAACAGGCUGAUACCGCCCAAGAGUUCAUAUCGACGGCGGUGUUUGGCACCUCGAUGUCGGCUCAUCACAUCCUGGGGCUGAAGUCGGUCCCAAGGGUAUGGCUGUUCGCCAUUUAAAGUGGUACGCGAGCUGGGUUUAGAACGUCGUGAGACAGUUCGGUCCCUAUCUGCCGUGGGCGUUGGAAGAUUGAAGGGGGCUGCUCCUAGUACGAGAGGACCGGAGUGGACGAACCUCUGGUGUUCGGGUUGUGUCGCCAGACGCAUUGCCCGGUAGCUAAGUUCGGAAUCGAUAACCGCUGAAAGCAUCUAAGCGGGAAGCGAGCCCUGAGAUGAGUCUUCCCUGAUACUUUAAGUAUCCUGAAGGGUUGUUCGAGACUAGAACGUUGAUAGGCAGGGUGUGUAAGCGCUGUGAGGCGUUGAGCUAACCUGUACUAAUUGCCCGUGAGGCUUAACCAUACAACACCCAAAGGGUU